AUUUAGGGAUUUAGUACCCAUCAUUUCACACCACGUCUGAAACCCUAGCCAUACCAAACCAACGCCUCCCUCCAACCACAGCACAACGGUGAUUUUGCUCCAGAAGCUUGGACUGCCGAUUGAUUCAUGUGAUUUCCGACGACGAACCGUCAAAAGAAGUGAAUAAUGGUGUAGAUUUCACACGUGAAGAAUAUUGGCAGAUUUGUGGAUUUAAACUCCAAAACUCCAGCGAGCUCUCUUCGUCGCCUCGCUUCACACGGCGGCCGGAUGCCAGGCCGUGUGCCACUGACCUCUACCUAACCUCCCUCUUCCUCUGUUUGUGACGAUCGGGAGCCGCCGAUCUCGCGCUUUCUCUUCCCCUCUCAACCGGCAGCCGUAUAAGGCAUGUGUGUAAAUGUUAUGGUACAAGGUAAACACUGGAAGGGGCGAUGGUAACGAGGCAUUUGGAGACAUUCAUGGGGCGAUGGUAACGAGGCAUUUUAUACUAAGUUAUUCAGUAUACGUUUCAGGUAGAAGGCAUGUGUGUAAAUGUUAUGGUAUAAGGUAAACACUGGAAGGGGCGAUGGUAACGAGGCAUUUGGAGACAUUCAUAGGGGAUGGUGCGCAAGGCUGGAAAUGUAACAUAUCUAGUAAACGACUGCAACAAUUCUCAAGGAUGCACAUAAGGUAUUGUGCAUCCAUUUUGACGUGGGAGGGAAAUGAAAUGAAGGACGUUGUCGACAAAGCUUCAGAUACUUUUAGAGAUAUGUGCAAGGAUCCAGGAUUCAAUGUAAAUUUGAUGCUACUUGAGUGAAAGUUGGGCACAUAUGACUAAACACAAUUUUUUUUUUUUUUAAGAAAACAUAUUAUGAUGAUUUUUGGUUGGAUGUUUGUCAUUUGAAACAUAUGUUUUGUGACAAUAUAUUUUAAUUUGUUUGAGGUGAA
Salvia miltiorrhiza (redroot sage) is the source of this 924-nucleotide long non-coding RNA. RefSeq lists it as uncharacterized. The record is from RefSeq and is a predicted model, not a curated record. NCBI's taxonomy places the organism in Eukaryota, Viridiplantae, Streptophyta, Magnoliopsida, Lamiales, Lamiaceae. The transcript is spliced from 4 exons.